GUGUCAGCAGCCGCGGUAAUACGAAGGGGGCUAGCGUUGUUCGGAAUCACUGGGCGUAAAGCGCACGUAGGCGGACCAUUAAGUCAGGGGUGAAAGCCUGGAGCUCAACUCCAGAACUGCCUUUGAUACUGAUGGUCUCGAGUUCGGAAGAGGUUGGUGGAACUGCGAGUGUAGAGGUGAAAUUCGUAGAUAUUCGCAAGAACACCAGUGGCGAAGGCGGCCAACUGGUCCGAUACUGACGCUGAGGUGCGAAAGCGUGGGGAGCAAACAGGGUUAGAAACCCGGGUAGUCC
Molecule: ribosomal RNA, 292 nt
Filed under: uncultured Phreatobacter sp.
Lineage: Bacteria; Pseudomonadati; Pseudomonadota; Alphaproteobacteria; Hyphomicrobiales; Phreatobacteraceae
Description: partial 16S ribosomal RNA
Rfam family: Bacterial small subunit ribosomal RNA
Source: RNAcentral